RNAcentral lists this ribosomal RNA (401 nucleotides) under uncultured Glomeromycotina. Its description in RNAcentral is "SSU rRNA". It matches the Rfam family "Eukaryotic small subunit ribosomal RNA", at positions 693 to 1092 of the family's 1831-position model. Lineage: Eukaryota; Fungi; Glomeromycota. The record is from RNAcentral.
UUUCUCCCUUCUGACGAACCAUGAUGUCAUUUAUUUGGUGUUGUGGGGAAUCAGGACUGUUACUUUGAAAAAAUUAGAGUGUUUAAAGCAGGCUCACGCUUGAAUACAUUAGCAUGGAAUAAUGAAAUAGGACGUUUGAUUCUAUUUUGUUGGUUUCUAGGAUCGACGUAAUGAUUAAUAGGGAUAGUUGGGGGCAUUAGUAUUCAAUUGUCAGAGGUGAAAUUCUUGGAUUUAUUGAAGACUAACUACUGCGAAAGCAUUUGCCAAGGAUGUUUUCAUUAAUCAAUAACGAAAGUUAGGGGAUCGAAGACGAUCAGAUACCGUCGUAGUCUUAACCAUAAACUAUGCCGACUAGGGAUCGGAUGAUGUUAAUUUUUUAAUGACUCAUUCGGCGCCUUACG